CCUACGGGAGGCAGCAGUGAGGAAUAUUGGACAAUGGGCGCAAGCCUGAUCCAGCCAUGCCGCGUGCAGGAAGAAGCAUCUAUGGUGUGUAAAACUGCUUUUGUACGGGAAGAAACACCUCUACGUGUAGAGGCUUGACGGUACCGUAAGAAUAAGGAUCGGCUAACUCCGUGCCAGCAGCCGCGGUAAUACGGAGGAUCCAAGCGUUAUCCGGAAUCAUUGGGUUUAAAGGGUCCGUAGGCGGUUUGAUAAGUCAGUGGUGAAAGCCCCGAUCGCUCAACGAUGGAACGGCCAUUGAUACUGUCAGACUUGAAUUACUAGGAAGUAACUAGAAUAUGUAGUGUAGCGGUGAAAUGCUUAGAUAUUACAUGGAAUACCAAUUGCGAAGGCAGGUUACUACUAGUGGAUUGACGCUGAUGGACGAAAGCGUGGGGAGCGAACAGGAUUAGAUACCCUGGUAGUCCACGCCGUAAACGAUGGAUACUAGCUGUUAGGAGCAAUCUNGUGNGAGAGAAGAGAGUAGUAGUACCGACCGUAACGGGUAGGUACGUUACGUUCGUAAGAAGUUAGAACGUUACGAAGUUAGAGUUAGACGGACGNGAGACGAGACGACGGACGACGACGAGGGAGGAGG
This 634-nucleotide ribosomal RNA is filed under the name uncultured bacterium. Its description in RNAcentral is "bacterial SSU rRNA". The stretch from base 1 to 534 matches the Rfam family "Bacterial small subunit ribosomal RNA", at positions 338 to 873 of the family's 1533-position model. The record is from RNAcentral.